RNAcentral lists this ribosomal RNA (682 nucleotides) under uncultured bacterium. RNAcentral's name for it is "bacterial SSU rRNA". It matches the Rfam family "Bacterial small subunit ribosomal RNA", at positions 8 to 684 of the family's 1533-position model. The record is from RNAcentral.
AGAGUUUGAUCCUGGCUCAGAUUGAACGCUGGCGGCAUGCCUUACACAUGCAAGUCGAGCGGCAGCGCGGGGGCAACCCUGGCGGCGAGCGGCGAACGGGUGAGUAAUGCAUCGGAACGUGUCCUCUUGNUGGGGGAUAACCAGUCGAAAGACUGGCUAAUACCGCAUGAGAUCGAGAGAUGAAAGCAGGGGACCGCAAGGCCUUGCGCGAGAGGAGCGGCCGAUGCCGGAUUAGCUAGUUGGUGGGGUAACGGCCUACCAAGGCGACGAUCCGUAGCUGGUCUGAGAGGACGACCAGCCACACUGGGACUGAGACACGGCCCAGACUCCUACGGGAGGCAGCAGUGGGGAAUUUUGGACAAUGGGGGCAACCCUGAUCCAGCCAUGCCGCGUGUGUGAAGAAGGCCUUCGGGUUGUAAAGCACUUUCGGCCGGAACGAAAUCGCGCGGGUGAAUAUCCCGUGUGGAUGACGGUACCGGAAGAAGAAGCACCGGCUAACUACGUGCCAGCAGCCGCGGUAAUACGUAGGGUGCGAGCGUUAAUCGGAAUUACUGGGCGUAAAGUGUGCGCAGGUGGCCGCGCAAGUCGAGUGUGAAAUCCCCGAGCUUAACUUGGGAAUUGCGCUCGAAACUACGUGGCUCGAGUGUGGCAGAGGAAGGUGGAAUUCCACGUGUAGCGGUGA